Molecule: unclassified non-coding RNA, 380 nt
Filed under: Melitaea cinxia (Glanville fritillary)
Lineage: Eukaryota; Metazoa; Arthropoda; Insecta; Lepidoptera; Nymphalidae
Description: misc RNA ENSMCXG00005004516.1
Source: RNAcentral
GUCUGAGUACGGAUAAUUUAUAGUUCUUUUAAAUUUAUAUUUAAUGAUUAGAAAAAUAGUUAAUUGGAUUUAAGAAAUGGAAUGCACCGGUUAAGUCCACGUGAACUGAAGAACAGGAAUCCUGAACGAAAUUGCUCAUGAUUUAUUCAAAACAUUAAAAUACAUACAGUGGUAAAAAGAAGUACAAAAAGAAAAACAAGAAGAAAAGGUAAUUGGAUAUACGCAAUACAUACAAACAUAUAUUACAGAAGGUGUUGCAGGACCGAUGGCCGUUGGAGCAGGCGUGUCCUGGAGUGGAGACCGCAUCUUGGCAAACGCAGUGUGGGACGUCCUCCGGUCCGCUGGACCGACGAUCUACGUAAGAUUGCCGGUGUAGGCUG